Molecule: ribosomal RNA, 501 nt
Filed under: uncultured bacterium
Lineage: Bacteria
Description: partial 16S ribosomal RNA
Rfam family: Bacterial small subunit ribosomal RNA
Source: RNAcentral
AUUGAACGCUGGCGGCAUGCCUUACACAUGCAAGUCGAACGGCAGCACGGGAGCUUGCUCCUGGUGGCGAGUGGCGAACGGGUGAGUAAUGCAUCGGAACGUACCCGGAAGUGGGGAUAACGUAGCGAAAGUUACGCUAAUACCGCAUAUUCUGUGAGCAGGAAAGAGGGGGAUCGCAAGACCUCUCGCUUUCGGAGCGGCCGAUGUCGGAUUAGCUAGUUGGUGGGGUAGAGGCCUACCAAGGCGACGAUCCGUAGCGGGUCUGAGAGGAUGAUCCGCCACACUGGAACUGAGACACGGUCCAGACUCCUACGGGAGGCAGCAGUGGGGAAUUUUGGACAAUGGGCGAAAGCCUGAUCCAGCCAUGCCGCGUGAGUGAAGAAGGCCUUCGGGUUGUAAAGCUCUUUCGGCUGAAAAGAAAUCGCACAGGCUAAUACCCUGUGUGGAUGACGGUAUCAGCAUAAGAAGCACCGGCUAACUCUGUGCCAGCCGCCGCGGUAA